This 482-nucleotide ribosomal RNA is filed under the name uncultured Alphaproteobacteria bacterium. Its description in RNAcentral is "bacterial SSU rRNA". It matches the Rfam family "Bacterial small subunit ribosomal RNA", at positions 9 to 524 of the family's 1533-position model. Lineage: Bacteria; Pseudomonadati; Pseudomonadota; Alphaproteobacteria. The record is from RNAcentral.
GAGUUUGAUCAUGGCUCAGGAUAAACGCUGGCGGCGUGCCUAAAACAUGCAAGUCGAACGGACCCUUUCGGGGGUUAGUGGCGGACGGCUGAGUAACACGUGGGUGACCUGCCCUCGAGCGGGGGAUAACUGCCCGAAAGGGUGGCUAAUACCGCAGAUGUCGCGGAUUCGGUUUCGUGACUGAACUUACGGGGUUCGGGGAGGGGCCUGCGUCCGAUUAGCUAGCUGGUGGGGUGACGGCCUACCAGGGCGACGAUCGGUAGCUGGUCUGAGAGGAUGAUCAGCCAGACUGGGACUGCGAACGGCCCAGACUCCUACGGGAGGCAGCAGUUAGGAAUUUUGGGCAAUGGGCGGAAGCCUGACCCAGCAACGCCGCGUGGGUGAAGAAGGCCCUCGGGUCGUAAAGCCCUUUUCCCAGGGAAGAUGGUGACGGUACCUGGGGAAUCAGCCCCGGCUAACUACGUGCCAGCAGCCGCGGUAAC